RNAcentral lists this transfer RNA (70 nucleotides) under Polyascus gregaria. RNAcentral's name for it is "tRNA-Lys". It matches the Rfam family "tRNA". From Rfam's summary of the family: Transfer RNA (tRNA) molecules are approximately 80 nucleotides in length. Their secondary structure includes four short double-helical elements and three loops (D, anti-codon, and T loops). Further hydrogen bonds mediate the characteristic L-shaped molecular structure. tRNAs have two regions of fundamental functional importance: the anti-codon, which is responsible for specific mRNA codon recognition, and the 3' end, to which the tRNAs corresponding amino acid is attached (by aminoacyl-tRNA synthetases). tRNAs cope with the degeneracy of the genetic code in two manners: having more than one tRNA (with a specific anti-codon) for a particular amino acid; and 'wobble' base-pairing, i.e. permitting non-standard base-pairing at the 3rd anti-codon position. The record is from RNAcentral. Lineage: Eukaryota; Metazoa; Arthropoda; Thecostraca; Sacculinidae.
UUAGAAAGUAGCAUAAUUUAAUGUAGUAGAUUUUUAAUUUAUAGAUGAGUAUUAUAUACUUUUUUCUAAG